Molecule: small nuclear RNA, 325 nt
Filed under: Tursiops truncatus (common bottlenose dolphin)
Lineage: Eukaryota; Metazoa; Chordata; Mammalia; Artiodactyla; Delphinidae
Also listed under: 1 other name
Description: 7SK RNA (ENSTTRG00000023506.1)
Rfam family: 7SK RNA
About the family: 7SK was discovered as an abundant small nuclear RNA in the mid-70s but a possible function has only recently been suggested. Two independent studies have found that 7SK RNA binds the CDK9/cyclin T complex (known as elongation factor P-TEFb).
Source: Rfam by way of RNAcentral
GCAUGUGAAGGCAAUCUGGCUGUGACAUCUGUCACCCCAUUGAUAGGGUUGAUUUGGCUGAUCUGACUGGCUAGGUGGGGGUCCCCUGUCUCCCUCUCCACUCCAUAUGUAUCCCUCCUGAAGAUGCAUGCUCGGUCCAAGAGGACGAUCUUCUCUGAUGGAGGAGGACCAUUCUCCAGUCAUGGGUAUAGAAGUAUCUGUGCUCCUCUGCUCAAACCUCCAAACAAGUUCUCAAAGUCCAUUUGUAGGAGAACGUAGGACAGUCAAGUUUCCAAGACUCCAGAUACUUCAGAUGAUGUGCUGCAUUGGCAGUCUGCCUUUCUUU